GAUCUGUUAUGAUGAUACCCCUUUUUUUCAAGCAUAGUUCACACUGAAUCAUGACAUGUUGAUGCUCAAUCAUCUAAGUCUUUCGCUCCUAUCUGAUUCAUUUC
Molecule: small nucleolar RNA, 104 nt
Filed under: Termitomyces sp. J132
Lineage: Eukaryota; Fungi; Basidiomycota; Agaricomycetes; Agaricales; Lyophyllaceae
Description: Small nucleolar RNA snR60/Z15/Z230/Z193/J17
Rfam family: Small nucleolar RNA snR60/Z15/Z230/Z193/J17
About the family: The members of this family belong to the C/D class of snoRNAs which contain the C (UGAUGA) and D (CUGA) box motifs.
Source: Rfam by way of RNAcentral